CUUGACCUUGCCGCAGUGCUGGUGAACUUUGGAGGCACAACAACGGCGGUGCCGAUCACAUACCUGGGCCUGCCCAUCACGGUCCGGAGGAUUAGGCUAGUUCAACUGCAUUUCAUCAUCGAUAGAUUUAGGGCUAGGUUAGCCGGCUGGAAAGGUAGACUAAUGUCAAUGGCGGGUUAUCGUGUCAUCGUGCGCUGUGUUCUGUCCGCCAUACCAACCUUCAUGCUCACGGCUUUACGGGCGCCCAAGAAGCUCUUCAAGGAAAUUGACAAGUCACAACGACGGUUCCUCUGGGCACAGGACGACGAGAUCUCAGGGGCGAGUGGAAGGUGGGAUGGAAGACGGGACUGCGCCGGAGCUGCACGGUGUCCUGGGCGUCCAUGA
This 384-nucleotide ribosomal RNA is filed under the name Triticum aestivum (bread wheat). RNAcentral describes it as "partial small subunit ribosomal RNA". Lineage: Eukaryota; Viridiplantae; Streptophyta; Magnoliopsida; Poales; Poaceae. The record is from RNAcentral.